GAGCUAGCCUAAUAUGCAGCGUUCUCGGAAUCACUGGGCGUAAAGGACGCGUAGGCGGGUUGGAAGUCUGAUGUGAAAUCCUACAGCUUAACUGUAGAACUGCAUUGGAAACUUCCAACCUAGUAGUAUGGGAGGGGGAGAUGGAAUUAGUGGUGUAGGGGUAAAAUCCGUAGAUAUCACUAGGAAUACCUAAAGCGAAGGCGAUCUCCUGGUAACAUUACUGACGCUAAGGCGUGAAAGCGUGGGGAGCAAACGGGAUUAGAUACCCCGGUAGUCCACGCCCUAAACGAUGAACACUAGUCGUCGGGAAGCUUGUCUUCUCGGUGAUGCACUUAACAGAUUAAGUGUUCCCGCCUGGGGAGUACGGUCGCAAGAUUAAAACUCGAAGGAAUAGACGGGGACCCGCACAAGUGGUGGAGCAUGUGGUUUAAUUCGAAGAUACGCGAAGAACCUUACCUAGCCUUGACAUUGAUAGAACACACCAGAGAUGGAGUGGUGCCCUUUCGGGGAGCUUGAAAAACAGGUGCUGCACGGCUGUCGUCAGCUCGUGUCGUGAGAUGUUGGGUUAAGUCCCGCAAACGAGCGCAACCCUCGUCCUUAGUUGCCAGCAGGUUAUGCUGGGCACUCUAAAGGAGACUGCCUUCGGCAAGGAGGAGGAAGGUGAGGACGACGUCAAGUCAUCAUGGCCCUUACGGCUAGGGCUACACACGUGCUACAAUGGGGCGUACAGAGAGUUGCGAUACCCGCGAGGUGGAGCCAAUCUCAUAAAGCGUCUCUCAGUUCGGAUUGGAGUCUGCAACUCGACUCCAUGAAGCUGGAAUCACUAGUAAUCGUAGAUCAGCAAUGCUACGGUGAAUACGUUGCCCGGGUCUUGUACUCACCGCCCGUCACACCAUGGGAGUUGAUUUCACCCGAAAUUGGGAAGCUAACCUUCGGGAGGCUACCACUACGGUGAAUAGCAACGGG
This 966-nucleotide ribosomal RNA is filed under the name uncultured bacterium. Its description in RNAcentral is "bacterial SSU rRNA". It matches the Rfam family "Bacterial small subunit ribosomal RNA", at positions 520 to 1478 of the family's 1533-position model. The record is from RNAcentral.